Aerococcus sanguinicola is the source of this 73-nucleotide transfer RNA. It matches the Rfam family "tRNA". From Rfam's summary of the family: Transfer RNA (tRNA) molecules are approximately 80 nucleotides in length. The record is from Rfam. Lineage: Bacteria; Bacillati; Bacillota; Bacilli; Lactobacillales; Aerococcaceae.
GGACCGUUAACUCAGUUGGUAGAGUAGCGGACUCUUAAUCCGUCUGUCGAGAGUUCGAGCCUCUCACGGUCCA